UACGUAGGUGGCAAGCGUUGUCCGGAAUUAUUGGGCGUAAAGCGCGCGCAGGCGGUCUUUUAAGUCUGAUGUGAAAUCUUGCGGCUCAACCGCAAGCGGCCAUUGGAAACUGGGAGACUUGAGUACAGAAGAGGAGAGUGGAAUUCCACGUGUAGCGGUGAAAUGCGUAGAGAUGUGGAGGAACACCAGUGGCGAAGGCGACUCUCUGGUCUGUAACUGACGCUGAGGCGCGAAAGCGUGGGGAGCGAACAGG
RNAcentral lists this ribosomal RNA (253 nucleotides) under uncultured bacterium. RNAcentral describes it as "partial 16S ribosomal RNA". It matches the Rfam family "Bacterial small subunit ribosomal RNA", at positions 524 to 776 of the family's 1533-position model. The record is from RNAcentral.